AUGCUCGAAUUUGAGGAUGAGAAGGUGUUGGGCAAGAUGACUGCUGAGAAUUUAAGGAUGUAUUACAAAUUUCGUACGGAGCUAUUAAAGAUGGAAGCCAGCUUACGCGAGUUCCGGGAGCAGAAUGAAAAGGAUGACCUGAGGUGGGAGCAGGAAUUCACAGAAUCAGACAAAGAGGAGAUGGAGAUGGAGGACAGGUUGUUUUCUGGAAAACGUGAAGUCUGGGAAUCCGCAUGGGGAUGCUGUGGUGAAUUUGAAGACAGUACCGCAGUGAGUCCUAUGCACUUUACACAUUGCACGCCGGGACUGAUCCCGUACGCCGCUCGCUCUGUGAGCACCUUGCAGAUCUACUCCUUGAAGAUUGUUGGAACAGAUGGAAAGUUGAAGUUACCACUCCAUGUGUAUGGUGUUGUUGCUGCCCGAGACACCGUGGACUACAACCGCAACAUUCUCUUCUUUAGGCGAAGGGAAGACUGUCAAAAACUCACUCCAGAGGAUCCAUUUUUGCACUUGACUGGCCCGUCCCGUGCCAUCGUGGCUAUGGACCACGUUGACUUCGAAGUCCAACUGAAAGUAAAGGGUGCAACAAGGUCCAGCGACAGAGCAUUGAUCAGUCGUUGCUGCACUUAUUCUGGUGGUUAUCAUGAAGGUUUAGAUACCGCUCUCAUCAACAACUGCUUUUGCACGGUAGAGUUAAGCUUGGAGCGACUCACAAAGACAGUCCAGGCUACCAUCUUAAGUGUCCGUGUUGUUGAAGGGGGACCUUGGCCUUUUGAAUAUGGUGGUCGGAUUGUGUGCUCCUCACCACCACAGGAAGUUAUGGACUCCCUGGCCAGGCAAGUUGUGUUGGUUGAUUCUCGUUCUUCUGAUGGUGGAGAAAUGCCAAUGGGCACAGAUGGCUACCUUGAUCUGUCAAGGCAUGUUGUUUCUGUAGAACUGGAAGAAAGCCUGCAAUUUGUUAUACAAGCCUACUCGCAGUCUGGUGAUGCUAUUGCUAGACAAGGUCGUGUCAAGUUCAGGGCCGAAUACUGCAAUGUAAGUCGAGGUAUAUGUGAGAUUGGUGACUCUAAGGUGGAGAUUACUGUUGCUUGGUCCAAACUUGUUACCAAAAGGAUGGAUAUCCUCUUAGAAGGACAUGUUUGA
RNAcentral lists this ribosomal RNA (1143 nucleotides) under Triticum aestivum (bread wheat). RNAcentral describes it as "partial small subunit ribosomal RNA". The record is from RNAcentral. Lineage: Eukaryota; Viridiplantae; Streptophyta; Magnoliopsida; Poales; Poaceae.